This 1932-nucleotide ribosomal RNA is filed under the name Triticum aestivum (bread wheat). RNAcentral describes it as "partial small subunit ribosomal RNA". The record is from RNAcentral. Lineage: Eukaryota; Viridiplantae; Streptophyta; Magnoliopsida; Poales; Poaceae.
AUGCGCCCACCAACACACACCAAAAAAAACCCGCCCCAUAGGAAAACGAAGGAAAACCGGAUCAACUCCCCUCCUCUCGAUCCACUCCAUCUUCGUGACGUACGAAGCCGCACGAGAUCGCCCCCGCUGACAACCUCAUAUAGAAGAUGCCGCGAUCUCUUGCGAUCUCGCUACCUCCAGGAUCGGCGUCUGUCGCCACCACCAACCUCCGGGAUUGGCAUCUCUCGCUACCGCCGAGGUACGGGAUCCCGCAUCAUACCAGAGAAGACACUGUCUACGGAGUCCGGGAUCGACGCCGCGGACGUAAGGGAUCACCAUCGCCGACCUUCCAGACGAGACGUCGCCGCCGCCGACCUCCGAGGGGAGACGCUGCCGCCACCUGUGGUAAACCCUAGGAUAGGGCGGUUUCAACUUUCAACCCCAGGGCAGGCCGACAACUUGUCGAUUUGUUGUUCUUCCCUUAUAAGAUCCUUGAGGAUAGGUGCGGCAACUAGCGACACAUGCUGGAGCUUCUGGCGGCGGCAUUACCUGUAUCCACCUCUCCCUGUUGCAGGGUGGAAGUUGUUGAUGUUGUUCAAUUGUAUGCUGCCCCUUGAGGGGAAGCCGUGCGUGCGCCCAGUGAGGAGAAGCGGCAAGGGCUCCAGGUGUGAGAGGCUGAAGCUCGGGGACGACGACAUCAUGCACAAGAGGGCAUACAGGAGAACUAUAAUUGCCGGCUGCCGUGCAAAACCACCUUUGGCGAUCAAGAAACAAGAGCCGGCGGCGGCUGGAGCCAUCAUUGACCACGACCGUGCCAGGAGCACCCGGGAAAAGGCGAGGACAUGUUGUUUAUUCUUCUUGCUGGAAGGAUAUGUCGUGAAAGAUGAUCCAGAUGCUAUUAAAGUUGUAACCUUUGACUGUCCAUUAUGUCUGGACUGCCAUGAGACCGCGAUUGGUACUGUACCCCAAAUUCUUCCAUACUCUAAUGAUCUUGUGUUCAAGGAGCAUCAACUACAUGUUAUGUCAGGCUUGACCAUAUCAGGUGAAGGGAGUGACAAGCAAUAUUCUGGUUUUGAUGCCCUGGGGGUACACAAGAGAGAGAGAGAGGGAGGGAGGGAGGGAGAUGCAAUUUCCAGGACAUUUAUGACUUUAUUCGGGUAUGACUCUAUUUUCGUGCUUCUCUUGUUCACCCGGAAGUCAAGAGAAUGCACAAUCAGUAUAUACAAGCUAGGUUGUUUGCGAGAGAAUUUGAUUCAUUACAGUUGCCUACAAGGUCAGGUGCGGCAACUAGCGACACGUGCUGGAGCUUCUGGCAUCGCUGGUGGCGGCAUUACCUAUAUGGACCUCUCCCUGGUCGCCUUCAAGAGUGUGUGCGGGCUUGCCCGGCGACAGGAAAAGCACAAGCUUCAGAGCCACAAUCCCCGGUGCACCGCGGGCUUGCCCGGCGACAACAUCUCCUAUGGUUGUGAGGAGGGAGGGAGGGUUUGGCUGCCGGGAGGGGCGGCGCAUGGGAGGGAGGCUGUGUCCACAUGUGGUACUAAGUUAUUUAAAGAUGGCCCUGCUCAUCGGGCUCAAGCAGUAGCGAGCAAGGCCAGCGACAACGGAAAUGUUGUGACUGGCGCCCAUGCACCUCUACCUGACUUCAAUGCACCUUUGUGUUUUGUAAUCAUUUUCCAACAAUCUGAUGGUUUGUGCAGACCAUCAGAGGUGGGGCACUUGGAAGGUGGGGGCAUUAAAGAGCAGAUGAACUGGGCUGAGGCCCUCGUGGCUGCGCUCGAAGUUGAGAACAACAAGGAGAUGGGGAUGAAUGGAGCGUUUUUGUUUGAGUCAAGUACUAUUGUGCGCAUGGAUCUUCUUAUGCUGACCAUCUUGAAAUGGAGAUUGCAGGCCUUGUCUCUAUUUACUUUCGUCAUCACCUACUUUCCGAAGAAGUUUGGUGAUGGAAGCCAUUGA